AUUGAACGCUUGCGGCAUGCCUUACACAUGCAAGUCGAACGGUAACAGGUCUUCGGAUGCUGACGAGUGGCGAACGGGUGAGUAAUACAUCGGAACGUGCCUAGUAGUGGGGGAUAACUACUCGAAAGAGUGGCUAAUACCGCAUGAGAUCUACGGAUGAAAGCAGGGGAUCGCAAGACCUUGUGCUACUAGAGCGGCCGAUGGCAGAUUAGGUAGUUGGUGGGAUAAAAGCUUACCAAGCCGACGAUCUGUAGCUGGUCUGAGAGGACGAUCAGCCACACUGGGACUGAGACACGGCCCAGACUACUACGGGAGGCAGCAGUGGGGAAUUUUGGACAAUGGGCGCAAGCCUGAUCCAGCAAUGCCGCGUGCAGGAUGAAGGCCUUCGGGUUGUAAACUGCUUUUGUACGGAACGAAAAGACCUGGGUUAAUACCCUGGGGUCAUGACGGUACCGUAAGAAUAAGCACCGGCUAACUACGUGCCAGCCGCCGCCGUAA
RNAcentral lists this ribosomal RNA (498 nucleotides) under uncultured bacterium. RNAcentral describes it as "partial 16S ribosomal RNA". It matches the Rfam family "Bacterial small subunit ribosomal RNA", at positions 30 to 523 of the family's 1533-position model. The record is from RNAcentral.